This 1084-nucleotide long non-coding RNA is filed under the name Macaca mulatta (Rhesus monkey). RNAcentral's name for it is "lncRNA (ENSMMUG00000062405.1)". Lineage: Eukaryota; Metazoa; Chordata; Mammalia; Primates; Cercopithecidae. The record is from RNAcentral.
GCGACUUCUUGGCAGAUACUGCAUCUUCAGCCAGGAGAAGUUGGCUUAGUACAAAAGGGCUUUUGAAGUGAUUUUCGAGAUUGUUGACUAUUAUGUAACAGAUGGCCCAACAGACCUCCGACUCUUUUGCGGUGUUGGCCAGCUUGGCUCAGGAAAAUAGCAGCACUGGAGUAAGUAUUCCCAGGCAUGGGACGCUCAUGAAUUUUAACUCCUCCACAACAAAGGAAUUCAAAGACGGUAAGAGCCAAUCUAUCAGGAGCCGAGGCAAUUAAGAGACAUGGGUUGGCAUUCUGCUGAGGAGGACUCCCUUCCUGGGUCUGAAUAUUUAGACUAGAGUAGAUCAGCCUGUCUUCCAUUCAUCUCUGCCCUGCCACAAGGUAUCAAAACAAUGAAAGGACUCAAAAACAGAAGCCAGUGUGUUUUUAGUUUUUAAUUAUAAAAUGUGUGUAUUGUUGUGUAAGAAUUCCAUGGAGGAAGAGACCAAGGAGCCAUAAAGAUGACACCCGAAUCUUGCCAAGGACAAUUCCAGUGACAACCAGGAAGAGGCCACCGUUUCUGUUUCAGAUUUUAUUCCUGAGGCCCUGGUUUUUAGUAGUUUAGCCACCUAGAGGUUGGGCUUAGAGCUCAGAUUGUUUGUACUUUGGAGAUUAUUUCAGGGCAUAAGGAGAGACCUACAGAGCAAUGAGAUGAGGAGAUGGGGUGAUAGUGAUUUGUCUGUAUUUUAACUUAAAAAGUACAGAAAUGGACAAAGAAGAAAAUAGCUAUUUUUCACAGUACCAUCACUAGAAAAUAUUUUGGGCAUAUUUGCCUUUUCUCCUUUUUUUAACCCCAUGUUUACAUUUUAUUUUAACCUGCAAACACUGCAUAUGCAUUGUCUAUAUUUUCUCUUUAAGUAAUGACUACUGCAGAAGCCGCACGGACUCAGCCCCUAAGCCCUCCAGUACCACCUAAUGCCAUCUUCAGCAUUCUCUGGACCUCAAAAGUCAGCUCCCUGGAGGAACGAACCUGGGACAGUGAGACUUGUCUUCAGUUUCAGCCUGAGAUUCUUCUUCCAAUUCAAAGGGCUAUUGUAAGGAUCAAAUGA